AGAAAAAAAAAGAAAAAAAAAAGGAAAAGUUGGAAAUUUCGGGAUUUCGUCGGAUUCGUCGUCAAUCUUUCGAAUGCGAUUUCUCGGUAAUUUCUGGAUAUUUGUGAUUUGAUUAAAUCAAAUCAAUCAAUUCCUGUCGUAUUAUUUCAUGUGAUCAAUAGUCUGUUUCGUUUCGAUAAUCAUUAUUGAUUCGAAGAUACGAUAUCCAAGUCGAAGUAUUUAUUUCGAUCAUCAGAGCGAAGUCUAAUUAGUGAGAUUUUAGUUCGACUCUGAAUUGAAAAUAGUGUAUCGUUUCAUGUGAUACAAUUGUCUGUUCAGUUUUUCGGAAUGUAGACGUAUACGUGACGUUUUCAGACGUAGAAUUGACGCUUCAUAUUUUAUGUGUUUUAAAUGUGUUUUAGUUCUAAUAGUAUGCCUGUACAGGUGGUACUAUUUCCGGACGUUCUUGAUCGAAUUUUCUUCAUCGUCGGUAAAGGCAAGUGAAUGUAUUAUAUGACUGCUUUAACCUAAUAUUGGGUUGCCUACAUUCUUUAAUUACAGUGCAUUCAUCUAAUCUGAAUGACUGAUUCUGAGCUGGGUACUAUGUUGUUUACGUUUCCAGAAGUUUACUCGAUGAUUGAUUUAUGAAGUGCAGUAUGUUUAGAUGUUGACGUGCGUUUUGGGAUGGAUCUUGGUAGCUGCACACACUAUCUCAUCACCAUGUUGAUAGCUCAACCGGUGUUAUAAAUGGUGGUUUUGGUGGUCUGUCGUUUGCUUGGUUUAUGUCGUGGUACGACGCUGGUAGCGUCGUGAAGGUUUCUAUAUAUAUAUGCCGGUUAUGUCAUAUACUGUCUGCCUGUGAUCUCUUUUGGUCAGUUAUACCGUCCUAUAGAGGAAAUGCCGUCAAAAUUUUCUGUUUUCAUAUAA
Phragmites australis (common reed) is the source of this 906-nucleotide long non-coding RNA. RefSeq lists it as uncharacterized. The record is from RefSeq and is a predicted model, not a curated record. The transcript has 2 exons. NCBI's taxonomy places the organism in Eukaryota, Viridiplantae, Streptophyta, Magnoliopsida, Poales, Poaceae.